This 279-nucleotide ribosomal RNA is filed under the name uncultured bacterium. RNAcentral's name for it is "partial 16S ribosomal RNA". It matches the Rfam family "Bacterial small subunit ribosomal RNA", at positions 506 to 784 of the family's 1533-position model. The record is from RNAcentral.
UGCCAGCCGCCGCGGUAAUACGGAGGGUGCAAGCGUUAAUCGGAAUUACUGGGCGUAAAGCGCGCGUAGGCGGUUUGUUAAGUCAGCUGUGAAAGCCCCGGGCUCAACCUGGGAACUGCAGUUGAUACUGGCCGACUUGAGUACGAGAGAGGGAGGUAGAAUUCCAUGUGUAGCGGUGAAAUGCGUAGAUAUUAUGAAGAAUACCAGUGGCGAAGGCGGCCUCCUGGAUCUGUACUGACACUGAGGUGCGAAAGCGUGGGUAGCGAACAGGAUUAGAUA